GAUGAACGCUAGCGGGAGGCUUAACACAUGCAAGUCGAGGGGCAGCAUAGGGUAGCAAUACUCUGAUGGCGACCGGCAAACGGGUGAGUAACGCGUAUGUAACCUACCCUGUACAGGGGGAUAACCCGGAGAAAUUCAGACUAAUAUCCCAUAACAAUAUCCGGGGGCAUCUUUGGAUAUUUAAAGUUCCGGCGGUACGGGAUGGGCAUGCGUAACAUUAGCUAGUUGGUAAGGUAACGGCUUACCAAGGCUUUGAUGUUUAGGGGUCCUGAGAGGGUGGUCCCCCACACUGGUACUGAGACACGGACCAGACUCCUACGGGAGGCAGCAGUGAGGAAUAUUGGUCAAUGGGCGCAAGCCUGAACCAGCCAUCCCGCGUGCAGGAAGACGGCGCUAUGCGUUGUAAACUGCUUUUCCAGGGAGAGAAACUUGCGCACGUGUUGCGCAAUUGACGGUACCCUGGGAAUAAGCAUCGGCUAACUCCGUGCCAGCAGCCGCGGUAAUCUGU
This 508-nucleotide ribosomal RNA is filed under the name uncultured bacterium. Its description in RNAcentral is "bacterial SSU rRNA". It matches the Rfam family "Bacterial small subunit ribosomal RNA", at positions 28 to 528 of the family's 1533-position model. The record is from RNAcentral.